UACGGGGGGUGCGAGCGUUGUCCGGAAUCACUGGGCGUAAAGGGCGCGUAGGUGGUCUUGUAAGGGUGUGGUGAAAGCCCGGGGCUCAACCCCGGGUCGGCCGUGCCGACUGCGAGACUAGAGUGCUGUAGGGGCAGGCGGAAUUCCGGGUGUAGCGGUGGAAUGCGUAGAGAUCCGGAGGAAGACCGGUGGCGAAGGCGGCCUGCUGGGCAGAUACUGACACUGAGGCGCGACAGCGUGGGGAGCAAACAGG
Molecule: ribosomal RNA, 253 nt
Filed under: uncultured bacterium
Lineage: Bacteria
Description: partial 16S ribosomal RNA
Rfam family: Bacterial small subunit ribosomal RNA
Source: RNAcentral